RNAcentral lists this long non-coding RNA (1276 nucleotides) under Apteryx owenii (little spotted kiwi). RNAcentral's name for it is "lncRNA (ENSAOWG00000015334.1)". Lineage: Eukaryota; Metazoa; Chordata; Aves; Apterygiformes; Apterygidae. The record is from RNAcentral.
CACACACCUUUGGCUUGGAGUCAGGCAGCCAGAGUCCCAGAAGACAGUCUUUUCAGUAGAAAGCAGCAAGCUUUUAAAUUUUCACUGCACAUUGUUUUAUUAAAACUUCUGCAGCUGGUUAAAUGACUUUUCAGAGGAAACUUGUCCCAUUGCCGUGAACCAAAGGGGAGGGAUGAAGGUAAUUACGUUCUCCCCGUUCGACAGCAAAUGGUUCCCUGUACCUAUUUCAGGGGCCAGCUACCCAUGAGCAAACCUCCUGAGCUCUGACUGCUCUUCCCUUUUUACAGCAUCCUGAGCUACCUCAGGGCAGCUCUGAGGCAGCCUUGGGUAUGUGCCAUACACCCACCACGAAGAAGCCAGCCAGCCAAAUGGACCAAAGGUGCCACAGGCUCUCUUCUUUUGACGAAGCCAACAUGUUUUGCAAACACUGAAUUGGUCAAGAUAGAUGCUUUCAUGAACACUAAAAUUCAUCCAUAUAAAGUGCUGGGAGUGGAUGAGUAAAAGAUGGCCACUCUGAAAUGUGUGCGGAGGAGACCAGUACAUGAAAUCAGGGCCAGAGGAGAGGAAGUGCCGUCGGCCCGAGGGAGCAGGUCCCCGCUGAUCCCCGACGAGGGUGCUGUACUCCAGGAUAAGCGACCUGUGCCAUUCCUCACAAUGGCACCUGAGAUGCAGCCCUGACUCAGGACAAACUCCAGAGAGCAGAACCUCCCCUCCUGUUUCUUCUCGGUCAGCUCCUGAUGCACCAGCCUCUCUCCACUGACAGUGGAGGGACUGAGGGUCUUGAGUCAGUGCUCUGCACGAUUCUGCUAGGACAGUGUAACUACUGCCUUGGUACUGCACCCAAAGUACAGCUCUGAUGAAACCCUUCAACUUCACCCCAAAUUUCUAGACCACUUUGCAUUUGAUUUUCAAUCCAUGCUUUAGCCUGUUUCUGCCUCUUAUGUUUUUGAUUUUCCUAAAAGUCAUAUUUGCUCUCUUUGCAAGGCCAUUGCCAAAGAGCUAUUUGAUGCUGCUAAUACAGGGGGGCAAAAACAUUCCUCCCCCCCCCCAAAAAAAGAGAUUCCCACAUUCUUAAGGGCAGAAUAUCUCAUCUCUAAAACCUUAUCUGCCCAUGAACUGAAUAGCCUUGAAGAGUGUUAACCAUCUUAAUGUGGAAAUGCUUAUUUCUGGAAAGAAGAACUUGUCUUCAGAGGCACCUUCAUGCUAAUAUGAUGGAAACCAUAAGGGUGUGUGUGGUAUAAAUGAACCAGUAAGAAUAAAGCCUUACCUCGCUACA